AAAGCGUGCGCAGGCGGUUUUGUAAGUCUGUCGUGAAAUCCCCGGGCUCAACCUGGGAAUGGCGAUGGAGACUGCAAGGCUAGAGUUUGGCAGAGGGGGGUAGAAUUCCACGUGUAGCAGUGAAAUGCGUAGAGAUGUGGAGGAACACCGAUGGCGAAGGCAGCCCCCUGGGUCAAAACUGACGCUCAUGCACGAAAGCGUGGGGAGCAAACAGGAUUAGAUACCCGUGU
RNAcentral lists this ribosomal RNA (230 nucleotides) under uncultured bacterium. Its description in RNAcentral is "partial 16S ribosomal RNA". It matches the Rfam family "Bacterial small subunit ribosomal RNA", at positions 562 to 791 of the family's 1533-position model. The record is from RNAcentral.